Long non-coding RNA from Vulpes vulpes (red fox), 1556 nucleotides. Lineage: Eukaryota; Metazoa; Chordata; Mammalia; Carnivora; Canidae. The record is from Ensembl.
CUCCCCAGCAGGUGGCCCCGGGCAACACGGCGUCCAGCGGGGCCGCCAGAAGCUGUCGGAGACGGAGGGAAGGCGGCUCAAACCCUCGGCCUCGCGGUGAGCAAACAGUGUCCCUGCGCCCCCGCCCGCCCGCGCUGCCCCACCCGCGGCCGCGUGCCCCAGCGGCUGACUGGGUGCUCGCCGCCCCACCCGGGCCCCUGGACGCGCUCCAGGCCCAGACGUCGGCGCGGCCUGCUGCCCCAGGGGACCCCCCACCCCGGGCACCCGGCCCGGAGCUGCCGCGUGUGGGGGCCGGGCCGCCGCCCUCCACCUGCUGCCCGCCGGGCCGCGGAACCGAGUGGUGUCAGCGGCGCGGGCCUGCUCCGCCCCGAGCUCAAGGUCUCCUGCAAGCCCGGGCCUGCGGAGGCGGGAGGCCCUCUCGGUCCCACGGACGGUCCCAGCAGGCCAAGUCAGCUCCCCUCCGGGCCGGCUCCUGACUCCCCGAGCUGACUUUACCCGCCCCGCCCCCUUUUGUUGACCUUAAAGUCAUUUAUCAGACACUCAGGCACUUGUCAGUACAGGCCCCAAAGCUUCGUAGGGCAGAAUCAAGGAGGCGAAAGGCUGGAAAGAUGGAGACUGCAAACAACAGACACGGAGGGAAAAAUGAAAGAAAUCUGGAGAAAGGAAAGAAGCGGCUGUGGCCAGCUGAAAAUGAAUCCUCACAUUUCAUGCAUCCAGCAGUUGAAGAACUAACAGGUGGUUCAUCAGUCAGUAAAAUUUUCCUACAACGGACUCUGGUUGCAGCGGAUGACCUUCCCCCACACUCAAGUUCAUGUGCUGAUAAGUCUUUCUUUAUAAGAGUACUCCCACUUGGCUACCAACCUGUCUGUACUUCGGUUUUCCCUUCUGGAUAAUAGCAACGCCUACCUCAUGAAGUUGUUGUGAAGGUUAAAUGAGAUAAUAUAUGUAAUGUGCUUGGAAUAGUUCGGGGACUGGUGGAUGUACAAAUAUAUUAGCUUAUAUUAUUUCACAUCACAUACUGCAGUUUCAAGUUAUAACUUCAUACCCAGACCUUGGAUUUUGCCUUGUGUGGUACCUAGACUCCAUGUUAACCUCAGUGAUCCAUCCCCACCUCCUCUAACGUCACUUCUGAGAUUAGGUUAUAAAAGACGUGAGCACAUGCCUGGCUGGGCAUCCGGCACUGGUCUUUGAGGCACGACUGUGAGAACACCAGCCUCAAAUUUGUAGUGCACGUUCUGGCCCACCAGCAGCCUGGGUGACUGCUAAGUGUUCUCCACGCAAGCAGUGGGCAGAGCCGCUAACCCUGUGAACAAGAUGGGAGAUGCUGAAGCAGGCAAGAAGAUCUUUAUUUAAAAAUGUGGGGGCACCUGGGUGGCUCAGUCGGUUAAAUGUGCGCCUUCCACUCAGUGGUGAUCAGGGUUCUGGGAUCCAGCCCCACAUGGAGCUCCCUGCUCAGUGAGGAGUCUGCUUCUUCUCUCUCUCCGCCUGCCGCUCCCUCUGCUUGUGCUCUCUCUCUCUCAAAUAAAUAAAUAAAAUCUUCUUCUUUUUUUUUUUUU